GGAGGGUGCUAGCGUUGUUCGGAAUCACUGGGCGUAAAGGGCGCGUAGGCGGCGCAUCGUGUCGGCUUUGUGAAAGCCCGGGGCUCAACCCCGGAGGUGCGGCCGAAACUGAUGUGCUGGAGGCCGGAAGAGGAGGGUGGAAUACCCAGUGUAGAGGUGAAAUUCGUAGAUAUUGGGUGGAACACCGGUGGCGAAAGCGGCUCUCUGGUCCGGACCUGACGCUGAGGCGCGAAAGCGUGGGGAGCAAACAGGAUUAGAUACCCUGGUAGUCCACGCCCUAAACGAUGCGGGCUAGACGUCGGGGGGCAUGCCCCGCGGUGUCGCAGCGAACGCGUUAAGCCCGCCGCCUGGGGAGUACGGCCGCAAGGUUAAA
This 373-nucleotide ribosomal RNA is filed under the name uncultured bacterium. RNAcentral's name for it is "bacterial SSU rRNA". It matches the Rfam family "Bacterial small subunit ribosomal RNA", at positions 527 to 898 of the family's 1533-position model. The record is from RNAcentral.